RNAcentral lists this ribosomal RNA (460 nucleotides) under uncultured bacterium. RNAcentral's name for it is "partial 16S ribosomal RNA". It matches the Rfam family "Bacterial small subunit ribosomal RNA", at positions 338 to 795 of the family's 1533-position model. The record is from RNAcentral.
CCUACGGGUGGCAGCAGUGAGGAAUAUUGGUCAAUGGACGCAAGUCUGAACCAGCCAUGCCGCGUGCAGGAAGACGGCUCUAUGAGUUGUAAACUGCUUUUGUACGAGGGUAAACGCAGAUACGCGUACCUGUCUGAAAGUAUCAUACGAAUAAGGAUCGGCUAACUCCGUGCCAGCAGCCGCGGUAAUACGGAGGAUUCAAGCGUUAUCCGGAUUUAUUGGGUUUAAAGGGUGCGUAGGCGGUAGGAUAAGUUAGAGGUGAAAGCCCGAGGCUCAACGUCGGAAUUGCCUGUGAUACUGGUCGGCUAGAGAGUAGGUGCGGUAGGCGGAAUGUAUGGUGUAGCGGUGAAAUGCUUAGAGAUCAUACAGAACACCGAUUGCGAAGGCAGCUUACCAAGCUACUACUGACGUUGAGGCACGAAAGCGUGGGGAGCAAACAGGAUUAGAUACCCUGGUAGUC